CCACUGGUCCAGUGGCCCCGCCGUAUAAAUACGCUGGUGUGUUUAGUCUCCUCGACGCGACGCCGCCUCCGCCCUCUCUCAAACCCUAGCAUCCGCCUCCGCCUCCGCCUCCCCCUCCCCGUCGCGAGCGCCUCCGCCGCCGCCACCGCCGCCGCCGCGUCCCCCGUCCCCGUCCCCAUCCCCAUCCUCCGUCCAGGUCGCGCCACCCCGUCCGCCGGCGCGUCGUACGCCUCCACCAGCUGCCGGUCCUCCGCCUCCCGGUCAAGAUCCGGCACCGCGCCGCCUUCCUCCGUCGCCUCCGCCUCCCGUCUGAGAUCCGCAGCCCCUUCUCUGCACGUCGGUUUCUGCGCUGCCGCCAAGAAGGAUAUCCUGUCAUCCGUCACCAUGAAUAGCAUCAGAACCGUCGCUAGCCUCGAUGAGGUCAACGGUGUCCUGCAAGAGAUGGGCAUCAAUGCGAUUGGUCAAGCACAUCAAGUUCAAUUUUGCUUGCAUGAGCAGACAUCCCUUAAAGAAGCAACAGAAAUAAAGGUGAUUACUCGACCUGGAAGGCAUGGCUUUAAAUUGGUUAACCCUGAGUUGUUGAAUUGUAAGUUUAAAGCCAAGGUCAAGCUAGAUGUGUGCUACAAGACCAUGUUCAACGCAUGCAUGGUGCAAUGUGAUCAGGAGCUAUUACCACUGGAAGCCCGCAUUGCGCAGCUGAAGAACCUCAUUCUUUCCACAGACGACCAGAUCCCACAUAGGGGACCCGAAGUUGAUCAAAGGAAUCGUGGAGUGCAACUCAUGCUCUACCCGGAACCCCCCAACGAUCCUGAUUAUGAGUUCGGUAGUGCAAACCAACGAGUCCCAUAUCAAGCAGCAUACGCAAAUGAUGCACAGAGAAAUGCCGCAGUUGCUCGUGACAAGCGUGCUCAGAGGGCAGUUUGGAAUACUAAUCUCCGUCUUUUGGAGGUGAAGAAAUCCGUCCUGGAGAAGAAGAAGAUUGAAUUGGAGAGAGUUCUGAGGGAAGAGUUCGACAAAAUGAUUGAGGAGCAAUCUGACCUGGGGGUCGGAUAUGCGAACUACCAGUUUCCUCAUCUGGCAUAGGUUUUCAAAGAGCAUGAAACGGAGAAUCUUUUGGAAGUGCUGAAUGCUCGUUAAUGGUAGGCUCAGGCUGAAUGUAUCAGCAUAUUGUAGUAGCUUAUCAUGUCACUGUUUUGUCUCACUGUUUGUAAUCUAAGUGAGUAGUCAUAUCUGUUGCUGUUUUAAAUCUCAGAUCUCAGUAGAUGGUGCCAUCUGUGUUUGGUGCUGAAGAGGAAAAGGAUAUUAUAACAAGUAUCUUGCUUUCUGUUU
RNAcentral lists this long non-coding RNA (1329 nucleotides) under Oryza sativa Indica Group (long-grained rice). RNAcentral's name for it is "lncRNA OsMH63_01G020250". Lineage: Eukaryota; Viridiplantae; Streptophyta; Magnoliopsida; Poales; Poaceae. The record is from RNAcentral.